Long non-coding RNA from Leucoraja erinaceus (little skate), 1004 nucleotides. RefSeq lists it as uncharacterized. The record is from RefSeq and is a predicted model, not a curated record. The transcript has 2 exons. NCBI's taxonomy places the organism in Eukaryota, Metazoa, Chordata, Chondrichthyes, Rajiformes, Rajidae.
UGAAGUGAUGGCAAGUGGGCCCCUGUUAAAUGCUAGCAUUGUAGUUGUGCGUGGGCCCCCUUUGUCUCCUGGCAACCAAUAUUUUUAGACCCAGUCCACCACUGGGUCGGAGCAAGGGUUUCGCCCUGAAACAUCACCUAUUCCUUUUCCUCAGAGACGCUGCCCGCCCCGUUUGGACUGUUACUCCAGCUGUCUGUGUGUGUGUGUGUGUGUGUGUUGUGUGAGACAGAGAUAGUUUAAUUCCCCGCAGGAGUCGACGCCCACCUGAGCGACGCUGUCCAAUCCCUUUCAUUGGAGGUGCGGCUCUUCCACCCCUUGUGCUAACCUUCCGCCUGGUGUGCUCUUAAAUGAAUCGUUUUACUUUUCAUCUAAUAUUGCAAUGUGCAUGCUCACUCGUGUUACACGGAUGGCGCGCAGUCGCCUGUCUCCAGUGCUGGGCUGGGCUGGGCUGACAUGUUGCUUUGCUUCGGCUGGCGGGUCGCGGCUGCACCUUGACUUUCCCGCCCGCCCGCACCAGGGACAGUGUCUGGGGGCCGGGGCCAGAGGGAGGUCAGUCAGUCAGGUAGGGACUGCAGCCGGAGUUCAGCUUCCCACUCUCUCACUGAACUUGGGUCUCGCCGGCCCCGACUCAAGAGGACAGCACAACAGGAUUUCACUCCAGCGUAUCUUUCAAAGUUCCCUGCCAGACAGCCAUGUCCACAAAUCGUGUUCGAAUGUCAAUGGGAACUAGCCAAGGAUGGAAACCAAGUUUGGUGAAGAUAAUCAUCCCAACCCCAACACAGCAAUGAAGAGGUUCCUCUGGCAGUGUCUUAGGCCCUACCGUCUUCAAGGGUUUCACCUGUGUUUCUGUUAUAAAUUAAUCCUUGUCAAUGACAUUCAAAUAACACCAAAAAAGAUGCAACUGUAUUGUAAGGUAUCGAGUCCAUAAUGUGCCUUGUGCCAGCAAAUGUAAAGCUACUAAAGCUCAAUAUUUAGUUUCCAAAAUAAAACAUUAUCAUUCUGUG